AUUGGACAAUGGGNNNAAGCCUGAUCCAGCAAUACCGCGUGUGUGAAGAAGGCCUGCGGGUUGUAAAGCACUUUCAAUUGGGAAGAAAAGCCUGAGGAUAAUACCCUUGGGUCUUGACGUUACCUUUAGAAGAAGCACCGGCUAACUCCGUGCCAGCAGCCGCGGUAAUACGGAGGGUGCGAGCGUUAAUCGGAAUUACUGGGCGUAAAGCGCGCGUAGGCGGCUUGUUAAGUCAGAUGUGAAAGCCCUGGGCUCAACCUGGGAACUGCAUUUGAUACUGGCAGGCUAGAGUAUGGUAGAGGGAAGUGGAAUUCCGGGUGUAGCGGUGAAAUGCGUAGAUAUCCGGAGGAACAUCAGUGGCGAAGGCGACUUCCUGGACCAAUACUGACGCUGAGGUGCGAAAGCGUGGGUAGCAAACAGGAUUAGAUACCCUGGUAGUCCACGCCGUAAACGAUGUCAACUAGCCGUUGGGCUCAUUAUAAGGGCUUAGUGGCGCAGCUAACGCGAUAAGUUGACCGCCUGGGGAGUACGGCCGCAAGGUUAAAACUCAAAGGAAUUGAC
Molecule: ribosomal RNA, 561 nt
Filed under: sulfur-oxidizing symbiont of Oasisa sp.
Lineage: Bacteria; Pseudomonadati; Pseudomonadota; Gammaproteobacteria
Description: bacterial SSU rRNA
Rfam family: Bacterial small subunit ribosomal RNA
Source: RNAcentral